RNAcentral lists this non-coding RNA (26 nucleotides) under Mus musculus (house mouse). Lineage: Eukaryota; Metazoa; Chordata; Mammalia; Rodentia; Muridae. The record is from RNAcentral.
UAAAUAAAGGUUGUCCUUCUGAUGUA